Molecule: ribosomal RNA, 253 nt
Filed under: uncultured bacterium
Lineage: Bacteria
Description: partial 16S ribosomal RNA
Rfam family: Bacterial small subunit ribosomal RNA
Source: RNAcentral
GAUCCUGGCUCAGGACGAACGCUGGCGGCGUGCCUAAUACAUGCAAGUCGAGCGGACCGAUGGGAGCUUGCUCCUUUAGGUUAGCGGCGGACGGGUGAGUAACACGUGGGCAACCUGCCCUGCAGACUGGGAUAACUUCGGGAAACCGGAGCUAAUACCGGAUAACACCGAAAACCGCAUGGUUUUCGGUUGAAAGGCGGCUUUUAGCUGUCACUGCAGGAUGGGCCCGCGGCGCAUUAGCUAGUCGGUGAGG